UACGGGGGGGGCAAGCGUUGUUCGGAAUUACUGGGCGUAAAGGGCUCGUAGGCGGCCAACUAAGUCAGACGUGAAAUCCCUCGGCUUAACCGGGGAACUGCAUCUGAUACUGGAUGGCUUGAGAUUGGGAGAGGGAUGCGGAAUUCCAGGUGUAGCGGUGAAAUGCGUAGAUAUCUGGAGGAACACCGGUGGCGAAGGCAGCAUCCUGGACCAAUACUGACGCUGAGGAGCGAAAGCCAGGGGAGCAAACGGG
Molecule: ribosomal RNA, 253 nt
Filed under: uncultured bacterium
Lineage: Bacteria
Description: partial 16S ribosomal RNA
Rfam family: Bacterial small subunit ribosomal RNA
Source: RNAcentral